Molecule: ribosomal RNA, 585 nt
Filed under: uncultured bacterium
Lineage: Bacteria
Description: partial 16S ribosomal RNA
Rfam family: Bacterial small subunit ribosomal RNA
Source: RNAcentral
UGGGGAAUUUUGGACAAUGGGCGAAAGCCUGAUCCAGCAAUGCCGCGUGUGUGAAGAAGGCCUUCGGGUUGUAAAGCACUUUUGUCCGGAAAGAAAUCCUUGGCUCUAAUACAGUCGGGGGAUGACGGUACCGGAAGAAUAAGCACCGGCUAACUACGUGCCAGCAGCCGCGGUAAUACGUAGGGUGCAAGCGUUAAUCGGAAUUACUGGGCGUAAAGCGUGCGCAGGCGGUUUGCUAAGACCGAUGUGAAAUCCCCGGGCUCAACCUGGGAACUGCAUUGGUGACUGGCAGGCUAGAGUAUGGCAGAGGGGGGUAGAAUUCCACGUGUAGCAGUGAAAUGCGUAGAGAUGUGGAGGAAUACCGAUGGCGAAGGCAGCCCCCUGGGCCAAUACUGACGCUUAUGCACGAAAGCGUGGGGAGCAAACAGGAUUAGAUACCCUGGUAGUCCACGCCCUAAACGAUGUCAACUAGUUGUUGGGGAUUCAUUUCCUUAGUAACGUAGCUAACGCGUGAAGUUGACCGCCUGGGGAGUACGGUCGCAAGAUUAAAACUCAAAGGAAUUGACGGGGUCAUAGCUGUUUCCU